This 768-nucleotide ribosomal RNA is filed under the name Triticum aestivum (bread wheat). RNAcentral's name for it is "partial small subunit ribosomal RNA". Lineage: Eukaryota; Viridiplantae; Streptophyta; Magnoliopsida; Poales; Poaceae. The record is from RNAcentral.
AUGCGGGUAGCCUCCAGGGUGGUCGUCCUCGUCCGAGACGCCGCGGGCUACGGCGCAGCCCUCGCUGACGCGCUCCGGCCGUCGCCGGGGCUCACGAGGGUUUCCUCGCCCUUCGAUCUCCCUCUCGAUAAGUACGGCCUCAACGGCGAAAAGGCCUCCGGCGAGCUCGUUAGCUUCUCUGACUCCAGUGGCUCUCCUCAGCCUUUUCCUGCAUUUCUGCAAGAUUCACUUUACCGCUGCGCCAGGGCUCCCCUUCUUUUCAUGGAUGUAAUGCUCAAAAUUAGCAUAUACCAUUUGACUAUCACUGUGUCAUUUUUUGUUCUGCCUGACUAUAGGCCUCCUGUUGCUGCAUGUGCUAUGAAUGAGAUUUUAGCAUUGAUUUCUUCUGAAGCUCCCUCCAUCCAGCCAGUUCUGAUUGUACCAUUCAUCACAAGACCAUCAGGCUGCUUCCAUGGAAUGGUUAAUGCAACAAAAACUGGGCAGUUAACUACACUUCAUGCUGCUGAAAUAGGGGCAUCAAAUGAGUUUACUCACUUGUUGGUUGACGGAACUAUUAAACCUCGGCCAUCUUUGCAAAUACGUAGUGAACCAAUACAAUGCUUGCUGGAAAUAGUGCGGGUAUUGAAGAUACCCACAGUUCUUCUUGUCACAUCAGGUGGGCAGCACCAAGGCAAAAGUUCUUCAGACUCUGACCUUGAGGUGCUGCAGUGCGUGGGAGAUCACGUAGCCAAGCACAUCAACUUGGAGUUCCAAAGAAACUGUCAUUGA